UACGGAGGAUGCGAGCGUUAUCCGGAUUUAUUGGGUUUAAAGGGUGCGUAGGCGGACGCUUAAGUCAGCGGUAAAAUUGCGGGGCUCAACCUCGUCGAGCCGUUGAAACUGGGUGCCUUGAGUGGGCGAGAAGUACGCGGAAUGCGUGGUGUAGCGGUGAAAGGCAUAGAUAUCACGCAGAACUCCGAUUGCGAAGGCAGCGUACCGGCGCCCUACUGACGCUGAAGCACGAAGGCGUGGGUAUCGAACAGG
RNAcentral lists this ribosomal RNA (252 nucleotides) under uncultured bacterium. RNAcentral describes it as "partial 16S ribosomal RNA". It matches the Rfam family "Bacterial small subunit ribosomal RNA", at positions 524 to 776 of the family's 1533-position model. The record is from RNAcentral.